AUUGAACGCUGGCGGCAUGCUUUACACAUGCAAGUCGAACGGUAACAGGUCUUCGGAUGCUGACGAGUGGCGAACGGGUGAGUAAUACAUCGGAACGUGCCUAGUAGUGGGGGAUAACUACUCGAAAGAGUAGCUAAUACCGCAUGAGAUCUACGGAUGAAAGCAGGGGACCUUCGGGCCUUGUGCUACUAGAGCGGCUGAUGGCAGAUUAGGUAGUUGGUGGGGUAAAGGCUUACCAAGCCUGCGAUCUGUAGCUGGUCUGAGAGGACGACCAGCCACACUGGGACUGAGACACGGCCCAGACUCCUACGGGAGGCAGCAGUGGGGAAUUUUGGACAAUGGGCGAAAGCCUGAUCCAGCAAUGCCGCGUGCAGGAUGAAGGCCCUCGGGUUGUAAACUGCUUUUGUACGGAACGAAAAGCCUGGGGGUAAUAUCCCCG
Molecule: ribosomal RNA, 439 nt
Filed under: Comamonas testosteroni
Lineage: Bacteria; Pseudomonadati; Pseudomonadota; Betaproteobacteria; Burkholderiales; Comamonadaceae
Description: bacterial SSU rRNA
Rfam family: Bacterial small subunit ribosomal RNA
Source: RNAcentral